Non-coding RNA from Microbacterium sp. AR7-10, 117 nucleotides. Lineage: Bacteria; Bacillati; Actinomycetota; Actinomycetes; Micrococcales; Microbacteriaceae. The record is from Rfam.
GUUCACGAGUUGCAGCUUUCGGUACCUGGCCGGCUGCACGGCAACCCUGCUCCGUCGAGCGGGGUGCCCCAAGGGAGGAACCGGCCCGGCGCGACCGCGUGCGGGCAAGUCGAUGGG